GAUGAACGCUGACAGAAUGCUUAACACAUGCAAGUCUUUGGCGAAGCUGUGCUUGCACAGCCUAGCCAAGGCGGACGGGUGAGUAACGCGUAAGGAACUUGCCCUGCAGUCAGGGAUAACAGACGGAAACGACUGAUAAGACCUGGUAAAGUCAGGCGGACUCAUGUCCAGCCUGAUGAAAAGAGAUGCUGCAGGAGAGCCUUGCGUCCUAUUAGCUUGUUGGUGGGGUAACGGCCCACCAAGGCGAGGAUAGGUAGCCGGCCUGAGAGGGUGGACGGCCACAAGGGGACUGAGAUACGGCCCUUACUCCUACGGGAGGCAGCAGUGGGGAAUAUUGGACAAUGGGGGCAACCCUGAUCCAGCAAUUCUGUGUGCACGAUGAAGGUUUUCGGAUUGUAAAGUGCUUUCAGCAGGGAAGAAAAAAAUGACGGUACCUGCAGAAGAAGCGACGGCUAAAUACGUG
Molecule: ribosomal RNA, 463 nt
Filed under: uncultured bacterium
Lineage: Bacteria
Description: partial 16S ribosomal RNA
Rfam family: Bacterial small subunit ribosomal RNA
Source: RNAcentral